Molecule: unclassified non-coding RNA, 300 nt
Filed under: uncultured Sordariales
Lineage: Eukaryota; Fungi; Ascomycota; Sordariomycetes; Sordariales
Description: sequence contains ITS1
Rfam family: 5.8S ribosomal RNA (bases 1-105)
Source: RNAcentral
GAAAUGCGAUAAGUAAUGUGAAUUGCAGAAUUCAGUGAAUCAUCGAAUCUUUGAACGCACAUUGCGCCCGCCAGCAUUCUGGCGGGCAUGCCUGUCCGAGCGUCAUUUCAACCCUCAAGCACUGCUUGGUGUUGGGGCCCUACGCGUCGAGCGUAGGCCCCUAAAAUCAGUGGCGGGCCCGCCGUGGCUCCGGGCGUAGUAGCAACACCUCGCCCUGGAAUCGCGGCGCGCUCUGGCCGUUAAACCCCCACUAUACUGAAGGUUGACCUCGGAUCAGGUAGGAAUACCCGCUGAACUUAA